UAACACAUGCAAGUCGAACGCGAAAGUCCCGAAAGGGAUAAGUAGAGUGCAAACGGGUGAGUAACGCGUGGGUGACCUGCCUUCGAGCGGGGGAUAACGUUCCGAAAGGGACGCUAAUACCGCAUAACAUCCUGCCUUUGAAGAGGUGGAGAUCAAAGCCGGGGAUCGCAAGACCUGGCACUUGAAGAGGGGCCCGCGUCUGAUUAGCUAGUUGGUGAGGUAACGGCUCACCAAGGCAUCGAUCAGUAUCCGGCCUGAGAGGGCGGACGGACACACUGGGACUGAGACACGGCCCAGACUCCUACGGGAGGCAGCAGUGGGGAAUUGUUCGCAAUGGGCGCAAGCCUGACGACGCAACGCCGCGUGGAGGAUGAGGAUUUUCGGAUCGUAAACUCCUGUCGAAUGGGACGAAAAGAUUGCGGGUGAACAGCCCGCGGUCCUGACGGUACCGUUAAAGGAAACCCCGGCUAACUCCGUGCCAGCAGCCGCGGUAAUACGGGGGGGGUAAGCGUUGUUCGGAAUUACUGGGCGUAAAGGGCUCGUAGGCGGCCAGCUAAGUCAGACGUGAAAUCCCUCAGCUUAACUGGGGAACUGCGUCUGAUACUGGAUGGCUUGGAUUCGGGAAAGGAAUGCGGAAUUCCAGGUGUAGCGGUGAAAUGCGUAGAUAUCUGGAGGAACACCGGUGGCGAAGGCGGCAUUCUGGACCACAUUGACGCUGA
Molecule: ribosomal RNA, 719 nt
Filed under: uncultured Acidobacteriota bacterium
Lineage: Bacteria; Pseudomonadati; Acidobacteriota
Description: bacterial SSU rRNA
Rfam family: Bacterial small subunit ribosomal RNA
Source: RNAcentral